UACAGAGGUGGCAAGCGUUGUUCGGAAUUACUGGGCGUAAAGGGCGCGUAGGCGGCCCGUCAAGUCCCGUGUGAAAGCCCCCGGCUCAACCGGGGAACGGCGCGGGAAACUAGCAGGCUUGAGUUCGGGAGAGGGAAGCGGAAUUCCGGGUGUAGCGGUGAAAUGCGCAGAUAUCCGGAGGAACACCGGUGGCGAAGGCGGCCUUCCUGGACCGACACUGACGCUGAGGCGCGAAAGACUAGGGGAGCAAACGGG
Molecule: ribosomal RNA, 255 nt
Filed under: uncultured bacterium
Lineage: Bacteria
Description: partial 16S ribosomal RNA
Rfam family: Bacterial small subunit ribosomal RNA
Source: RNAcentral